CCGAGUAGAUGGAGACAAUAUAAAAACAUUAUAUCUUAAUAAUGUUAAUAACACAAAAUUCGUUUCAAUCUAUACCAAACAAUUUCUUUUCAUCAAAAUUUCCCUGGCUUAUGAGUUUCUUAAACUUAGCCCCUGCCAGAAUCAUUCUCGCGGGUACCUUCGUCAAGGUAUCCCACUGAGACCGCCAAGGCUGUUCAAUGACCCGUACCCAUAAACAUGUUUUCACAUCUAACACACAGCCGUUCCUUGACGUUGGCUAAGUCUCACUCUCACGUGGUGGCCCGAACGUGAGGUGCACCCAAAUCAUACCUCAGGAGAUACUUCACCCAACAUCUCCCCCCGGAGGUAAAUAUAUAAUUGAGUUACCAUGCUCCUCUCAUAGGCAGUCCACGAAAAUCCCCACCACUGCAGUGACCGUUUAAUAUACCACCAGACCCAUAAAAAUUCCAAUAGCAUAAUAUGGCGAAUAAAAUGUAAUUCAAUCUACCGAGACCAAUCCCAAAAAUUUAGCCAUCAUGCUACCAUAGUGUCAUAAGCCCCAAUUUCAAUAACAUAUAAAAUCAUAAAUUUCAACACAGUCUCCAUAUACUCAAUUUUUCCAAAACAAUGUUUGAUUUCAAAACAGUAUAAAUCUCAUUUUUAUUAAAAAAAAAUUUUAAUUAGAAAACAUAAUAUUUAAUAAU
Molecule: long non-coding RNA, 683 nt
Filed under: Theobroma cacao (cacao)
Lineage: Eukaryota; Viridiplantae; Streptophyta; Magnoliopsida; Malvales; Malvaceae
Description: long non-coding RNA (TCAC_LNC006258)
Source: RNAcentral